Peromyscus maniculatus bairdii (prairie deer mouse) is the source of this 473-nucleotide long non-coding RNA. RefSeq lists it as uncharacterized. The record is from RefSeq and is a predicted model, not a curated record. Lineage: Eukaryota; Metazoa; Chordata; Mammalia; Rodentia; Cricetidae.
CUCUGACCCCCGGGGAGGAACCACGCGGAAAAUGGCGCCUUAAAGUGCCCGCGCCCACCUUUCCGAAGUGCGCGGCCCAGUGCACGGGCGUCCAGCCGUAGAAGGAGUCCUCGGCGGCCAGAUGGAGUUUCCUGAGAGGCUCGGAGCUCCCUGUUGGCUGUAAAUGUCCACGUAAUGAAGUCCAAGGCACCGACAUCUCCCUUUAACAGCUAGAAAAGCGAGCCGAUUCACUCCCCGAUUGGACUCAUUAGAUCUUAACCCCAGCCUCUGAAGAGUUCUAAAGCAUCCUUGACCUGGCUUCUGCAGAUGUUGGGUAGGUUUUGCUCCUUGCCAUAGAGUCCUGCUCCCCGCUUUCUCCCCAUGUACACACAUGAUUUUAUUUGCACUGAAAUGUGAUUUUAUUUGUAUGUUAAUAAAUAAAGUUGCUUGGGGGUCAGAGCUAAUAGCAAGCCAUCGCAGAAGCUGGGCGGUGG